AACGAACGCUGGCGGCAGGCUUAACACAUGCAAGUCGAACGCCCCGCAAGGGGAGUGGCAGACUGGUGAGUAACGCGUGGGAACAUACCCUUUCCUGCGGAAUAGCUCCGGGAAACUGGAAUUAAUACCGCAUACGCCCUACGGGGGAAAGAUUUAUCGGGGAAGGAUUGGCCCGCGUUGGAUUAGCUAGUUGGUGGGGUAAAGGCCUACCAAGGCGACGAUCCAUAGCUGGUCUGAGAGGAUGAUCAGCCACAUUGGGACUGAGACACGGCCCAAACUCCUACGGGAGGCAGCAGUGGGGAAUAUUGGACAAUGGGCGCAAGCCUGAUCCAGCCAUGCCGCGUGAGUGAUGAAGGCCUUAGGGUUGUAAAGCUCUUUCACCGAUGAAGAUAAUGACGGUAGUCGGAGAAGAAGCCCCGGCUAACUUCGUG
This 431-nucleotide ribosomal RNA is filed under the name uncultured bacterium. RNAcentral describes it as "partial 16S ribosomal RNA". It matches the Rfam family "Bacterial small subunit ribosomal RNA", at positions 29 to 507 of the family's 1533-position model. The record is from RNAcentral.